Molecule: transfer RNA, 72 nt
Filed under: Camelus ferus (Wild Bactrian camel)
Lineage: Eukaryota; Metazoa; Chordata; Mammalia; Artiodactyla; Camelidae
Rfam family: tRNA
About the family: Transfer RNA (tRNA) molecules are approximately 80 nucleotides in length.
Source: Rfam by way of RNAcentral
GUGGGUAUAGCUCAGUGGUAGAGUGCAUGUUUAGUAUGCACGAGGCCCUGGGUUCAAUCUCCAAUAACUCCA